RNAcentral lists this long non-coding RNA (723 nucleotides) under Equus caballus (horse). RNAcentral describes it as "lncRNA (ENSECAG00000056310.1)". Lineage: Eukaryota; Metazoa; Chordata; Mammalia; Perissodactyla; Equidae. The record is from RNAcentral.
GGCAAGACAGACCCACUCCCCCUGCUUCAGAGGUCCUAUACACCCCUGGCUAAGUGGACCCACAAGUUCGCCACAGGCUUACUGGUAGUUGGGACCAGUCCCUGGGACAGGCUGCCUACCCUGGCUGUGCUCAAUUAAAUCGGUGCUCCAGCGGGUGGGGCAAACCCCUGCAUUAACAGGCUAGAGGAAAGAAUCCAAUGAUGACUGCCAGUGUCUGUGUCAGCACUAUUGAAUUAGGUCACAAUAAUGGCUGCCACCAGUGUCUUAGUCCCUGAGAUGGGGGGACCAGCUGCCUCCUGCCUCUCUGAGGUGCACUCUGAGCUCAAAUCAAAACUGCCCUUCUCCGAAAGUCCUGCAAGCCGAAGCUGGAUGACUUGGUACAAGCUUCAAGAAAUCACCAUAACAGAUCAUGAAGCCAGGAGCCACGCCACGAGGACCCUCAACCAGCCCUGUGAAGAGAUCCACAUGGUGAGGAACUGAGGCAUCUUGCAAAUAGCUCUGUGAGCCAUCUUGGAAGUGCAUCCUUUAUCUCCGGUCAAACCUUCAAAUGACUUCAGUCCUGGCCAACAUGUUAACUCAUGAGAUACCUGGAGCCAGAAUCACCCAACUUCGCCACUCCUGGAUUCCUGACCCUCAGAAAUAUGUUUGUUUAACAAUUUACUCCGCGGGAGACAUCAUAUAUCUGCUCUUCUUCGUGUAUUAUUCAAUCAGCUUUCUACGGAG